UACGUAGGUCCCGAGCGUUAUCCGGAUUUACUGGGUGUAAAGGGAGCGCAGGCGGCACGGCAAGCCUGAUGUGAAAGCCCGCGGCCCAACCGCGGGACUGCAUUGGGAACUACCGGACUGGAGUGCCGGAGAGGUAGGCGGAAUUCCUAGUGUAGCGGUGAAAUGCGUAGAUAUUAGGAGGAACACCAGUGGCGAAGGCGGCCUACUGGACGGUGACUGACGCUGAGGCUCGAAAGCGUGGGGAGCAAACAGG
This 253-nucleotide ribosomal RNA is filed under the name uncultured bacterium. RNAcentral describes it as "partial 16S ribosomal RNA". It matches the Rfam family "Bacterial small subunit ribosomal RNA", at positions 524 to 776 of the family's 1533-position model. The record is from RNAcentral.